RNAcentral lists this small RNA (262 nucleotides) under Maylandia zebra (zebra mbuna). RNAcentral describes it as "Metazoan signal recognition particle RNA (ENSMZEG00005016740.1)". The stretch from base 73 to 237 matches the Rfam family "Metazoan signal recognition particle RNA", at positions 92 to 256 of the family's 299-position model. From Rfam's summary of the family: The signal recognition particle (SRP) is a universally conserved ribonucleoprotein. It is involved in the co-translational targeting of proteins to membranes. The eukaryotic SRP consists of a 300-nucleotide 7S RNA and six proteins: SRPs 72, 68, 54, 19, 14, and 9. Lineage: Eukaryota; Metazoa; Chordata; Actinopteri; Cichliformes; Cichlidae. The record is from RNAcentral.
UUUCUGAUGUCAUUUAAAAAGAAAAAAAAAAAAAAAAAAAAAAAAAAAAAAAGGAGCUCUGAGCUGCAGCAGGCUGUGUCGAUCGGGUGUCCGCGCUAAGUUCGGCAUCGAUAUGGUGAUCCUGGGGGAGCCCGGGACCACCAGGUCGUCUAAAGAGGGGUGCACCGGCCCAGGUCGGAGACGGAGCAGGUCAAAGCCCCCGUGCUGCUCAGCAGUGGGAUCGCGCCUGUGAAUAGCAGAGGUGGGACCAAGUCAUUGUUUU